Molecule: ribosomal RNA, 1000 nt
Filed under: uncultured organism
Description: bacterial SSU rRNA
Rfam family: Bacterial small subunit ribosomal RNA
Source: RNAcentral
UGGGGGAUAUUGCGCAAUGGGGGCAACCCUGACGCAGCAACGCCGCGUGAAGGAUGAAGGUUUUCGGAUUGUAAACCUCUUUUAUUAAGGACGAAACUUGACGGUACUUAAUGAAUAAGCUCCGGCUAACUACGUGCCAGCAGCCGCGGUAAUACGUAGGGAGCAAGCGUUGUCCGGAUUUACUGGGUGUAAAGGGUGCGUAGGCGGCUUUGCAAGUCAGAUGUGAAAUCUAUGGGCUCAACCCAUAAACUGCAUUUGAAACUGUAGAGCUUGAGUGAAGUAGAGGCAGGCGGAAUUCCCCGUGUAGCGGUGAAAUGCGUAGAGAUGGGGAGGAACACCAGUGGCGAAGGCGGCCUGCUGGGCUUUAACUGACGCUGAGGCACGAAAGCGUGGGUAGCAAACAGGAUUAGAUACCCUGGUAGUCCACGCUGUAAACGAUGAUUACUAGGUGUGGGGGGUCUGACCCCUUCCGUGCCGGAGUUAACACAAUAAGUAAUCCACCUGGGGAGUACGGCCGCAAGGUUGAAACUCAAAGGAAUUGACGGGGGCCCGCACAAGCAGUGGAGUAUGUGGUUUAAUUCGAAGCAACGCGAAGAACCUUACCAGGUCUUGACAUCCAACUAACGAAGUAGAGAUACAUUAGGUGCCCUUCGGGGAAAGUUGAGACAGGUGGUGCAUGGUUGUCGUCAGCUCGUGUCGUGAGAUGUUGGGUUAAGUCCCGCAACGAGCGCAACCCUUGCUAUUAGUUGCUACGCAAGAGCACUCUAAUAGGACUGCCGUUGACAAAACGGAGGAAGGUGGGGACGACGUCAAAUCAUCAUGCCCCUUAUGACCUGGGCUACACACGUACUACAAUGGAUGUUAACAGAGGGAAGCAAGACAGCGAUGUGGAGCAAACCCCUAAAAACAUUCUCAGUUCAGAUUGCAGGCUGCAACCCGCCUGCAUGAAGAUGGAAUUGCUAGUAAUCGCGGAUCAGCAUGCCGCGGUGAAUACGUUCCC